Molecule: ribosomal RNA, 683 nt
Filed under: uncultured bacterium
Lineage: Bacteria
Description: bacterial SSU rRNA
Rfam family: Bacterial small subunit ribosomal RNA
Source: RNAcentral
CAUAGAAAUGUGGAUUAACCCUUUAUAGUACGACUGAUUGGCAUCCUGGUUGCUAAAACUCCGGUGGUUAGAGAUGGGCGUGCGUCUGAUUAGGUAGUUGGUAGUAAAGGCCUACCAAGCCAACGAUCAGUAGCUGAUGUGAGAGCAUGAUCAGCCACACGCACUGAGACACGGGCCCGACUCCUACGGGAGGCAGCAGUAAGGAAUAUUGGUCAAUGGGCAAGUCUGAACCAGCCAUGCCGCGUGAAGGAUGAAGGUCCUCUGGAUUGUAAACUUCUUAUCUGGGACGAAACACUGUUUUUCUAAACAGCUUGACGGUACCAGAGAAAUAAGCAGGCUAACUCCGUGCCAGCAGCCGCGGUAAUACGGAGGGUGCAAGCGUUAUCCGGAUUCUGGGUUUAAAGGGUGCGUAGGCGGGUAAUUAAGUCCGUGGUGAAAUCCUGCAGCUUAAGCAGAACUGCCGUGGAUACUAGUUACCUUGAAUGUUGUUGAGGUGAGUGGAACAAGUCGUAGCGGUGAAAUGCUUAGAGAUGACUUAGAACACCGAUUGCGAAGGCAGCUCACUAAAAAUAUUGACGCUGAGGCACGAAAGCGUGGGUAGCAAACAGGAUUAGAUACCCUGGUACCACGCCCUAAACGAUGGAUACUCGACAUCAGCGAUAUUACGGUUGGUGUCUGAGCGA